This is a long non-coding RNA of Heterocephalus glaber (naked mole-rat), 1639 nucleotides long. NCBI's taxonomy places the organism in Eukaryota, Metazoa, Chordata, Mammalia, Rodentia, Bathyergidae. The record is from Ensembl.
AGUAUUGUUGUGGAGGUUCAAGUUGUGUUUUGUUGACAUACAUGUCUUAGAAUUACCUUAAAACGAGCAUAAAAAGAUAAUGGGAGCUUCUGGUACAAUUUACUGCUUGAACAUGGCCUGAUAUCCAGUGGCCUUUUCUCUCUCUGAAACAUCUACUUUUCAUUCCUGUAAACUGAGAUGCUUGUGUUAUGUAAUUCUCCUUAUCUGCUUUUGGAGUUUUACACUGCUGUUCACAUAGUAUGAAGAUCUGUGAGCAUGCUAUGGGAAAAACCAGAUGGGGUUCAAAGUAUGUUAAUCAGAUGUGCCCCGUAGACUUCCCAAGAGUGAUGCUCUGGCAGUUUGUGACUAGUGGCUGAAUUUUGCUUUGGGUGAAAGAAGAGGAGCGGGAAGUUCUGGGAACAGGAUUGUAGAGGCCUGGCUUCAUCUGCCUGCCUAAAAGCUGCAGGCAGACCCAGUGUGAAAAGGGACAGAAGAGAACUCAUGCAGUGUACGAGCAAAUAGCCAGCGCAGUUCCCUUUCCAUGGCACAAGUGACAGAUGGGCUUUCCUUGUUUAUGCUGAUAAAGUCUGAGAUUUUUUACAUGUAAUUUUAGAUUUGAGAGUAACUUAAAUGCAUAUUUGUUGUAUAUCUAUGGCUAUAAUGGAAAUAAAAACUACUUUAUGUAUUGUUUAUGCAUAUUGUCUAAUAGAGAUGAUUUUGUAAUUCAUUAUAAUCUUGAUUUUAAGAAAUCAGUAAAAUGGCUACUAUUGCUAUUUUGGGGGUCUUUAAUUUUAUUUUUGGGGGGGGUCUUUAAUUUUAGAUGUAUGUUGUGUUUAACUUUUUCCCUGUCUUUUUAUCUUUACUUUUUUGUCCUCCACAUGCUGUGGUUAAACCCUUGCACUUUCUUCACCAAAACACGGCGUGUUUGACCUCAUCUUUGUAUUGAUGUUUAUUACACAGCACUACAAAACCUGCUCCACACCUGGAUGGGGUACAUGUUGUCUUUGGACUGGUUAUCUCUGGUUUUGAAGUAAUCGAGCAGAUAGAAAAUCUGAAAACUGAUGCCGCAAGCAGACCUUAUGCAGAUGUGCGAGUUAUUGACUGCGGGGUGCUUGCCACAAAAUCAACAAAAGAUGUUUUUGAAAAAAAGGGGAAGAAACCAACACAUUCAGAAGACUCAGAUUCCUCUUCCAGUUCCUCUUCCUCUUCAGAAUCAUCUUCAGAAAGUGAAAUUGAACAUCAGAAAAAUAGGAGAAGGAAACAUAAGAGGAGGCCCAAAGCUAAACAUUCUAAGAGGAGACGAAAGGAAGCAAGCAGUUCAGAAGAGCCAAGGAGUAAACACACUGUGAGCCCCAAAGGUCACUCUGAGAGGAGCGAUACCAAUGAAGACAGACCAGUGGAUUCAAAUGCUAAAAGGGAAAAGCCUGUUGUCCGUCCAGAAGAGAUUCCGCCCGUGCCUGAGAAUCGAUUUUUACUGAGGAGAGAUAUGCCUGUUGUCCCAGUGGAGCCUGAGCCGUAAGUAGGAUGAGGACUCUGUGCUUUUAUUUCUCUAGUAGAAACUUGUCAGUUCAUUGCCAUUUCGUAUUCAUUUAUCGGACAAGGCCUGUGUUCAGAGCACUCUGUAGGAGACACCAGAUACCCUGUAGGAUUCACAUUUGAC